UACGGAGGGUGCAAGCGUUGUCCGGAUUUAUUGGGUUUAAAGGGUGCGUAGGCGGCCCGUUAAGUCAGCGGUGAAAUCCCGGGGCUCAACCCCGGAACUGCCGUUGAUAUUGGCGGGCUUGAGUUCGGUGAAGGCGGGCGGAACUGGCGGUGUAGCGGUGAAAUGCUUAGAUACCGCCAAGAACCCCGAUUGCGUAGGCAGCUCGCUGUGCCGAAACUGACGCUGAGGCACGAAAGCGUGGGGAGCGAACAGG
RNAcentral lists this ribosomal RNA (253 nucleotides) under uncultured bacterium. RNAcentral describes it as "partial 16S ribosomal RNA". It matches the Rfam family "Bacterial small subunit ribosomal RNA", at positions 524 to 776 of the family's 1533-position model. The record is from RNAcentral.